UACGGGGGGGGCAAGCGUUGUUCGGAAUUACUGGGCGUAAAGGGCUCGUAGGCGGCCAACUACGUCGGACGUGAAAUCCCUCGGCUUAACCGGGGAACUGCGUCCGAUACUGGAUGGCUUGAGUUUGGGAGAGGGAUGCGGAAUUCCAGGUGUAGCGGUGAAAUGCGUAGAUAUCUGGAGGAACACCGGUGGCGAAGGCGGCAUCCUGGACCAAUUACUGACGCUGAGUGAGCGAAAGCCAGGGGAGCAAACGGG
Molecule: ribosomal RNA, 255 nt
Filed under: uncultured bacterium
Lineage: Bacteria
Description: partial 16S ribosomal RNA
Rfam family: Bacterial small subunit ribosomal RNA
Source: RNAcentral